This 253-nucleotide ribosomal RNA is filed under the name uncultured bacterium. RNAcentral's name for it is "partial 16S ribosomal RNA". It matches the Rfam family "Bacterial small subunit ribosomal RNA", at positions 524 to 776 of the family's 1533-position model. The record is from RNAcentral.
UACGUAGGGUGCAAGCGUUGUCCGGAAUUAUUGGGCGUAAAGAGCUCGUAGGCGGUCUGUCGCGUCGGCUGUGAAAUCCCGAGGCUCAACCUCGGGUCUGCAGUCGAUACGGGCAAACUAGAGUAUUGCAGGGGAGACUGGAAUUCCUGGUGUAGCGGUGAAAUGCGCAGAUAUCAGGAGGAACACCGGUGGCGAAGGCGAAUCUCUGGGCCACUACUGACACUGAGAAGCGAAAUCAUGGGGAGCAAACAGG